Molecule: ribosomal RNA, 491 nt
Filed under: Afipia sp. UC7238
Lineage: Bacteria; Pseudomonadati; Pseudomonadota; Alphaproteobacteria; Hyphomicrobiales; Nitrobacteraceae
Description: bacterial SSU rRNA
Rfam family: Bacterial small subunit ribosomal RNA
Source: RNAcentral
ACGCAACGCGCAGAACCUUACCAGCCCUUGACAUGUCUAUGAUCGGUACCAGAGAUGGAACCUUCCCUUCGGGGCAUAGAGCACAGGUGCUGCAUGGCUGUCGUCAGCUCGUGUCGUGAGAUGUUGGGUUAAGUCCCGCAACGAGCGCAACCCCCGUCCUUAGUUGCUACCAUUUAGUUGAGCACUCUAGGGAGACUGCCGGUGAUAAGCCGCGAGGAAGGUGGGGAUGACGUCAAGUCCUCAUGGCCCUUACGGGCUGGGCUACACACGUGCUACAAUGGCGGUGACAAUGGGACGCUAAGGGGCAACCCCUCGCAAAUCUCAAAAAGCCGUCUCAGUUCGGAUUGGGCUCUGCAACUCGAGCCCAUGAAGUUGGAAUCGCUAGUAAUCGUGGAUCAGCAUGCCACGGUGAAUACGUUCCCGGGCCUUGUACACACCGCCCGUCACACCAUGGGAGUUGGUUCUACCUGAAGGCAGUGCGCUAACCGCAA